AUUGAACGCUGGCGGCAUGCCUUACACAUGCAAGUCGAACGGUAACAGGUCUUCGGAUGCUGACGAGUGGCGAACGGGUGAGUAAUACAUCGGAACGUGCCCGAUCGUGGGGGAUAACGGAGCGAAAGCUUUGCUAAUACCGCAUACGAUCUACGGAUGAAAGCAGGGGACCGCAAGGCCUUGCGCGGACGGAGCGGCCGAUGGCAGAUUAGGUAGUUGGUGGGAUAAAAGCUUACCAAGCCGACGAUCUGUAGCUGGUCUGAGAGGACAACCAGCCACACUGGGACUGAGACACGGCCCAGACUCCUACGGGAGGCAGCAGUGGGGAAUUUUGGACAAUGGGCGAAAGCCUGAUCCAGCCAUGCCGCGUGCAGGAUGAAGGCCUUCGGGUUGUAAACUGCUUUUGUACGGAACGAAAAGACUCUUUCUAAUAAAGAGGGUCCAUGACGGUACCGUAAGAAUAAGCACCGGCUAACUACGUG
This 482-nucleotide ribosomal RNA is filed under the name uncultured bacterium. RNAcentral describes it as "partial 16S ribosomal RNA". It matches the Rfam family "Bacterial small subunit ribosomal RNA", at positions 30 to 507 of the family's 1533-position model. The record is from RNAcentral.